CCUACGGGAGGCAGCAGCAAGGAAUUUUCCCCAAUGGGCGCACGCCUGAGGGAGCAACGCCGCGUGGAGGACGACGGCCUUCGGGUUGUAAACUCCUUUUGGGGGGGAAGAGCAUGACGGUACCCCCCGAAUCAGCCCCGGCUAACUCCGUGCCAGCAGCCGCGGUAAGACGGAGGGGGCAAGCGUUGUCCGGAAUCACUGGGCGUAAAGCGCGUGUAGGCGGUCGUGUGCGUCGGUGCUGAAAGCGCCCGGCUUAACCGGGCGAGGCGUGCCGAUACGAUGCGACUGGAGGCAGGCAGAGGGUGGCGGAAUUCCGGGUGUAGCGGUGAAAUGCGUAGAGAUCCGGAGGAACGCCGGUGGGGCAGCCGGCCACCUGGGCCUGACCUGACGCUGAGACGCGACAGCGUGGGGAGCAAACCGGAUUAGAUACCCGGGUAGUCCACGCCGUAAACGCUGCCGGCUCGGUGACUGGGCGCCGUUCUCGGCGCCUGGGCGCCUUAGCUCACGCGGUAAGCCGGCCGCCUGGGAG
This 529-nucleotide ribosomal RNA is filed under the name uncultured bacterium. RNAcentral describes it as "bacterial SSU rRNA". It matches the Rfam family "Bacterial small subunit ribosomal RNA", at positions 338 to 879 of the family's 1533-position model. The record is from RNAcentral.